GACGAACGCUGGCGGCGUGCCUAAUACAUGCAAGUAGAACGCACAGUUUAUACCGUAGCUUGCUACACCAUAAACUGUGAGUUGCGAACGGGUGAGUAACGCGUAGGUAACCUGCCUGGUAGCGGGGGAUAACUAUUGGAAACGAUAGCUAAUACCGCAUAAUAUUAAUUAUUGCAUGAUAAUUGAUUGAAAGAUGCAAUUGCAUCACUACCAGAUGGACCUGCGUUGUAUUAGCUAGUAGGUGAGGUAACGGCUCACCUAGGCGACGAUACAUAGCCGACCUGGGAGGGUGAUCGGCCACACUGGGACUGAGACACGGCCCAGACUCCUACGGGAGGCAGCAGUAGGGAAUCUUCGGCAAUGGACGAAAGUCUGACCGAGCAACGCCGCGUGAGUGAAGAAGGUUUUCGGAUCGUAAAGCUCUGUUGUAAGAGAAGAACGGGUGUGAGAGUGGAAAGUUCACACUGUGACGGUAUCUUACCAGAAAGAGACGGCUAACUACGUG
This 505-nucleotide ribosomal RNA is filed under the name uncultured bacterium. RNAcentral's name for it is "partial 16S ribosomal RNA". It matches the Rfam family "Bacterial small subunit ribosomal RNA", at positions 28 to 507 of the family's 1533-position model. The record is from RNAcentral.